UGUCUCCAAGUAUUUAAUGGUUGGGAAGUUAGGAAUAUCUUUGUUUAUGUUUGACUAAAUUUUGGAACAUUUCAACCUUCAAAGCUGCCAACUUUGGUUUUUUUUCUUUCUAUGUGUAGUUGUUUGGGUUGAAAAAGAUUCUUGAAGUUUAGGAUGAUUUCAAAGGUUUGAUCAGUUGAGUUAAUUGAAUCUUUCCAAAUUGAGG
RNAcentral lists this unclassified non-coding RNA (205 nucleotides) under Hevea brasiliensis (rubber tree). Lineage: Eukaryota; Viridiplantae; Streptophyta; Magnoliopsida; Malpighiales; Euphorbiaceae. The record is from RNAcentral.